AGAACGCUGAAGGAGGAGCUUGCUUCUCUGGAUGAGUUGCGAACGGGUGAGUAACGCGUAGGUAACCUGCCUGGUAGCGGGGGAUAACUAUUGGAAACGAUAGCUAAUACCGCAUAAUAGUAGAUGUUGCAUGACAUUUGCUUAAAAGGUGCAAUUGCAUCACUACCAGAUGGACCUGCGUUGUAUUAGCUAGUUGGUGAGGUAACGGCUCACCAAGGCGACGAUACAUAGCCGACCUGAGAGGGUGAUCGGCCACACUGGGACUGAGACACGGCCCAAACUCCUACGGGAGGCAGCAGUAGGGAAUCUUCCACAAUGGACGCAAGUCUGAUGGAGCAACGCCGCGUGAGUGAAGAAGGGUUUCGGCUCGUAAAGCUCUGUUGGUAGUGAAGAAAGAUAGAGGUAGUAACUGGCCUUUAUUUGACGGUAAUUACUUAGAAAGUCACGGCUAACUACGUGCCAGCAGCCGCGGUAAUACGUAGGUGGCAAGCGUUGUCCGGAUUUAUUGGGCGUAAAGCGAGUGCAGGCGGUUCAAUAAGUCUGAUGUGAAAGCCUUCGGCUCAACCGGAGAAUUGCAUCAGAAACUGUUGAACUUGAGUGCAGAAGAGGAGAGUGGAACUCCAUGUGUAGCGGUGGAAUGCGUAGAUAUAUGGAAGAACACCAGUGGCGAAGGCGGCUCUCUGGUCUGCAACUGACGCUGAGGCUCGAAAGCAUGGGUAGCGAACAGG
RNAcentral lists this ribosomal RNA (728 nucleotides) under uncultured Bacilli bacterium. RNAcentral describes it as "bacterial SSU rRNA". It matches the Rfam family "Bacterial small subunit ribosomal RNA", at positions 63 to 776 of the family's 1533-position model. Lineage: Bacteria; Bacillati; Bacillota; Bacilli. The record is from RNAcentral.